GUCUGGUGGCAGCGAGGCGAGAGGUCCAAAAAUCAGAGUCCAUUUUCUCUUUAAAAAUAAAAGAUUUUGAGCGGGUUUUGAAGCUCUUCUAUAUUGUAAAUACACACAUAUAUCUUUUGAUCAUCUCAAAAAUAAAUUAUAAUAACAGUUUAAGAUAAAGAAACCAAUGAAAAGGAAUAGAAAGAGAUGUUUUAUCUGUCUG
RNAcentral lists this unclassified non-coding RNA (202 nucleotides) under Hevea brasiliensis (rubber tree). The record is from RNAcentral. Lineage: Eukaryota; Viridiplantae; Streptophyta; Magnoliopsida; Malpighiales; Euphorbiaceae.